AUGGUCCUUCGAGAUAUUAGGGAUAUGUUGCAAUCCAUGGGAAAGGAUAUUAAGAGCUAUGGACUUCCGGAUCUGGUUGAGACCGGUGGUUCUUAUGACAGUGAAUACAGAGAGGUAACAGAGGAGAGGCAAAUCACCGCGGACACAGAACAUCUAGAUCUAUUUAGCAGUUUGAACCAUGAGCAGCUAGCUGGUUUCAAUGACAUAAUGGAUCAUGUGAUGAACAAAAAAAGCCAGAUAUUCUUUGUUGAUGGUCCAGGAGGAACUGGGAAGAUGUACUUGUACAAGGCAUUGCUAGCAAAGGUGCGUUCCAUGGGCGAAAUCGCGAUCGCAACUGCUACAUCUGGUAUUGCAGCGUCGAUAAUGCCUGGAGGACGCACAACACACUCCCGGUUCAAAAUUCCAAUCAAGCUCACUGACAACAGUAUGUGCGGUUUCACAAAACAGAGUGGUACAGCGGAGUUGCUUAGACAGGCGUCCCUGAUAAUUUGGGACGAAGUCGCUAUGACAAAACGACAAGCAGUUGAGACGCUUGAUAGAUCACUACAGGAUAUAAUGGAAUGUUCUUUGCCGUUUGGAGGAAAGGUUGUUGUCUUUGGUGGCAGGUCCUACCCGUUGUGA
RNAcentral lists this ribosomal RNA (621 nucleotides) under Triticum aestivum (bread wheat). Its description in RNAcentral is "partial small subunit ribosomal RNA". The record is from RNAcentral. Lineage: Eukaryota; Viridiplantae; Streptophyta; Magnoliopsida; Poales; Poaceae.